CGACCCCAGUCAGGCGGGACUACCCGCUGAGUUUAA
RNAcentral lists this ribosomal RNA (36 nucleotides) under Artemisia annua (sweet wormwood). RNAcentral's name for it is "partial 28S ribosomal RNA". RNAcentral also lists the same sequence under 2 other names. Lineage: Eukaryota; Viridiplantae; Streptophyta; Magnoliopsida; Asterales; Asteraceae. The record is from RNAcentral.